GUGCCAGCAGCCGCGGUAAUUCCAUGUCUCCAAUAGCGUAUAUUAAAGUUGUUGUGGUUAAAAAGCUCGUAGUUGAACCUUGGGCCUGGCUGGCCGGUCCGCCUCACCGCGUGCACUGGUCCGGCCGGGCCUUUCCCUCUGUGGAACCCCAUACCCUUCACUGGGCGUGGCGGGGAAACAGGACAUUUACUUUGAAAAAAUUAGAGUGCUCCAGGCAGGCCUAUGCUCGAAUACAUUAGCAUGGAAUAAUAAAAUAGGACACGCGGUUCUAUUUUGCUGGUUUAUAGGACCGCCGUAAUGAUUAAUAGGGGCAGUCGGGGGCAUCAGUAUUCAACUGUCAGAGGUGAAAUUCUUGGAUCAGUUGAAGACUAACUACUGCGAAAGCAUUUGCCAAGGAUGUUUUCAUUAAUCAGGAACGAAAGUUAGGGGAUCGAAGACGAUCAGAUACCGUCGUAGUCUUAACCAUAAACUAUGCCGACUAGGGAUCGGACGGUGUUAUUCAUGACCCGUUCGGCACCUUACGAGAAAUCAAAGUGCUUGGGCUCCAGGGGGAGUAUGGUCGCAAGGCUGAAACUUAAAGAAAUUGACGGAAGGGCACCACCAGGGGUGGAGCCUGCGGCUUAAUUUGACUCAACACGGGGAAACUCACCAGGUCCAGACACAAUAAGGAUUGACAGAUUGAGAGCUCUUUCUUGAUUUUGUGGUGGUGUGCAUGGCCGUUCUUAGUUGGUGGGGUGACUUGUCUGCUUAAUUGCGAUAACGAACGAGACCUUAACCUGCUAAAUAGCCCGCAUUGCUCCGGCAGUGCGCUGGCUUCUUAGAGGGACUUCGGCUCAGCCGAAGGAAGUUUGAGCAUAACAGU
Molecule: ribosomal RNA, 862 nt
Filed under: uncultured fungus
Lineage: Eukaryota; Fungi
Description: SSU rRNA
Rfam family: Eukaryotic small subunit ribosomal RNA
Source: RNAcentral